GCCUAACAGCUAGCCCAUCCAAACAAUUUCAACAAACCCCUGUUAAUAACCCCUAAAUACCCCAGUAUUUAUUUUAAACAAACCAUUUUUCCCCCCUAGUAUAGGCGAUAGAAAAGGGCCCACGGCGCAAUAGAGAAAGUACCGCAAGGGAACGCUGAAAGAGAAGUGAAACAACCCAGUAAAGCCUAAAAAAGCAGAGAUCAAAACUCGUACCUUUUGCAUCAUGAUUUAGCAAGUGUAACCCAAGCAAAGCGUACUUUAGUUUGACGUCCCGAAACUAGGUGAGCUACUCCAAGACAGCCUAUCAAUAGGGCGUACCCGUCUCUGUGGCAAAAGAGUGGGGAGAGCUUUGAGUAGAGGUGACAAACCUACCGAACCUAGUUAUAGCUGGUUGUCCAAGAAAUGAAUAGAAGUUCAGCCUUUCAGCUUCUCUUUUCACUUUAGUCUGACCCCUACUGAUGCAUUAAAGAAACCGAAAGAGUUAGUCAAAGGGGGUACAGCCCCUUUGAAUCAAGACACAACUUUACCAGGUGGGU
RNAcentral lists this ribosomal RNA (536 nucleotides) under Hexagrammos lagocephalus (rock greenling). Its description in RNAcentral is "partial 16S ribosomal RNA". It matches the Rfam family "Bacterial large subunit ribosomal RNA", at positions 150 to 1040 of the family's 2925-position model. The record is from RNAcentral. Lineage: Eukaryota; Metazoa; Chordata; Actinopteri; Perciformes; Hexagrammidae.